This 465-nucleotide ribosomal RNA is filed under the name uncultured bacterium. RNAcentral's name for it is "partial 16S ribosomal RNA". It matches the Rfam family "Bacterial small subunit ribosomal RNA", at positions 28 to 506 of the family's 1533-position model. The record is from RNAcentral.
GAUGAACGCUGGCGGCGUGCUUAACACAUGCAAGUCGAACGAUGAAGCCCAGCUUGCUGGGUGGAUUAGUGGCGAACGGGUGAGUAACACGUGAGUAACCUGCCCUUAACUCUGGGAUAAGCCUGGGAAACUGGGUCUAAUACCGGAUAGGAGCGUCCACCGCAUGGUGGGUGUUGGAUAGAUUUAUCGGUUUUGGAUGGACUCGCGGCCUAUCAGCUUGUUGGUGAGGUAAUGGCUCACCAAGGCGACGACGGGUAGCCGGCCUGUGAGGGUGACCGGCCACACUGGGGCUGAGACACGGCCCAGACUGCUACGGGAGGCAGGAGUGGGGAAUAAUGCACAAUCGGCGCAAGCCUGAGGCAGCGACGCCGCGUGAGGGAUGACGGCCUUCGGGUUGUAAACAUCUUUCAGUAGGGAAGAAGCGAAAGUGACGGUACCUGCAGAAGAAGCACCGGCUAACUACGU